GUCUCCGUCGUCUAGCGGUCAGGACGCCGGACUUUCAAUCCGGAAAUGGGGGUUCGAUUCCCCUCGGAGACACCA
Molecule: transfer RNA, 75 nt
Filed under: Myxococcales bacterium
Lineage: Bacteria; Pseudomonadati; Myxococcota; Myxococcia; Myxococcales
Description: tRNA-Glu
Rfam family: tRNA
About the family: Transfer RNA (tRNA) molecules are approximately 80 nucleotides in length.
Source: RNAcentral